UCUUAUUAUUAACAUCUAAUAGUUGCAUAUCAUUGUAUUACAGCAAUAAUUUUUAUUUAUUAAUAUACUUUUUCUUAGUAUUCUUUUAGAAGCGUUGAUCACCUCUUUCUACUUUUUUCUCUUUUAUUAAAAACUUCCCAAAGUUAGUAAAUUCUUUGCAUUAUAAAAGUAUAAAAAUUUACUUUUUAUAAUUUCUUAUGCUUUUUGAUUGGAAGAUUGUUAAACUUUAUUCUUCUUUUUUAUUAUUCCUAGAAUAAUAUUUUUAUUUAAUGAAUUAAUCAAA
Molecule: small RNA, 283 nt
Filed under: Rickettsia prowazekii
Lineage: Bacteria; Pseudomonadati; Pseudomonadota; Alphaproteobacteria; Rickettsiales; Rickettsiaceae
Description: partial sR30 non-coding RNA
Source: RNAcentral